CUGCGAAUGGCUCAUUAAAUCAGUUAUCGUUUAUUUGAUAGUACCUUACCACUUGGAUAACCGUGGUAAUUCUAGAGCUAAUACAUGCUAAAAACCCCGACUUCGGAAGGGGUGUGUUUAUUAGAUAAAAAACCAAUGCCCUUCGGGGCUCUUUGGUGAUUCAUGAUAACCUAACGGAUCGCAUGGCCUUGCGCCGGCGACGGUUCAUUCAAAUUUCUGCCCUAUCAACUUUCGAUGGUAAGGUAUUGGCUUACCAUGGUUUCAACGGGUAACGGGGAAUUAGGGUUCGAUUCCGGAGAGGGAGCCUGAGAAACGGCUACCACAUCCAAGGAAGGCAGCAGGCGCGCAAAUUACCCAAUCCCGACACGGGGAGGUAGUGACAAUAAAUACUGAUACAGGGCUCUUUUGGGUCUUGUAAUUGGAAUGAGUACAAUUUAAACCCCUUAACGAGGAACAAUUGGAGGGCAAGUCUGGUGCCAGCAGCCGCGGUAAUUCCAGCUCCAAUAGCGUAUAUUAAAGUUGUUGCAGUUAAAAAGCUCGUAGUUGAAACUUGGGUCUGGCUAGCGGGUCCGCCUCACCGCGUGCACUUGUCCGGCUGGACCUUUCCUUCUGGAGAACCUCAUGCCCUUCACUGGGUGUGUUGGGGAACCAGGACUUUUACUUUGAAAAAAUUAGAGUGUUCAAAGCAGGCCUUUGCUCGAAUACGUUAGCAUGGAAUAAUAGAAUAGGACGUGCGGUCCUAUUUUGUUGGUUUCUAGGAUCGCCGUAAUGAUUAAUAGGGAUAGUCGGGGGCAUCAGUAUUCAAUUGUCAGAGGUGAAAUUCUUGGAUUUAUUGAAGACUAACUACUGCGAAAGCAUUUGCCAAGGAUGUUUUCAUUAAUCAGUGAACGAAAGUUAGGGGAUCGAAGACGAUCAGAUACCGUCGUAGUCUUAACCGUAAACUAUGCCGACUAGGGAUCGGGCGAUGUUUCUAUCUUGACUCGCUCGGCACCUUACGAGAAAUCAAA
RNAcentral lists this ribosomal RNA (1007 nucleotides) under Petrakia fagi. RNAcentral's name for it is "SSU rRNA". It matches the Rfam family "Eukaryotic small subunit ribosomal RNA", at positions 87 to 1102 of the family's 1831-position model. The record is from RNAcentral. Lineage: Eukaryota; Fungi; Ascomycota; Dothideomycetes; Pleosporales; Melanommataceae.